AGAGUUUGAUCCUGGCUCAGAUUGAACGCUGGCGGCAUGCCUUACACAUGCAAGUCGAACGGUAACAGGUUAAGCUGACGAGUGGCGAACGGGUGAGUAAUAUAUCGGAACGUGCCCAGUCGUGGGGGAUAACGCAGCGAAAGCUGUGCUAAUACCGCAUACGAUCUAUGGAUGAAAGCGGGGGACUUGCAAGAGCCUCGCGCGAUUGGAGUGGCCGAUAUCAGAUUAGCUAGUUGGUGGGGUAAAAGCUCACCAAGGCGACGAUCUGUAGCUGGUCUGAGAGGACGACCAGCCACACUGGAACUGAGACACGGUCCAGACUCCUACGGGAGGCAGCAGUGGGGAAUUUUGGACAAUGGGCGCAAGCCUGAUCCAGCAAUGCCGCGUGCAGGAUGAAGGCCUUCGGGUUGUAAACUGCUUUUGUACGGAACGAAACGGCUCCUUUUAAUACAAGGGGCUAAUGACGGUACCGUAAGAAUAAGCACCGGCUAACUACGUGCCAGCAGCCGCGGUAAUACGUAGGGUGCGAGCGUUAAUCGGAAUUACUGGGCGUAAAGCGUGCGCAGGCGGUUAUAUAAGACAGAUGUGAAAUCCCCGNGCUCAACCUGGGACCUGCAUUUGUGACUGUAUAGCUAGAGUACGGUAGAGGGGGAUGGAAUUCCGCGUGUAGCAGUGAAAUGCGUAGAUAUGCGGAGGAACACCGAUGGCGAAGGCAAUCCCCUGGGCCUGCACUGACGCUCAUGCACGAAAGCGUGGGGAGCAAACAGGAUUAGAUACCCUGGUAGUCCACGCCCUAAACGAUGUCAACUGGUUGUUGGGUAUUUACUUACUCAGUAACGAAGCUAACGCGUGAAGUUGACCGCCUGGGGAGUACGGCCACAAGGUUG
This 887-nucleotide ribosomal RNA is filed under the name uncultured beta proteobacterium. RNAcentral's name for it is "bacterial SSU rRNA". It matches the Rfam family "Bacterial small subunit ribosomal RNA", at positions 8 to 896 of the family's 1533-position model. The record is from RNAcentral. Lineage: Bacteria; Pseudomonadati; Pseudomonadota; Betaproteobacteria.